RNAcentral lists this ribosomal RNA (516 nucleotides) under uncultured bacterium. Its description in RNAcentral is "partial 16S ribosomal RNA". It matches the Rfam family "Bacterial small subunit ribosomal RNA", at positions 29 to 523 of the family's 1533-position model. The record is from RNAcentral.
AUUGAACGCUGGCGGCAGGCUUAACACAUGCAAGUCGAGCGGAGAUGAGGUGCUUGCACCUUAUCUUAGCGGCGGACAGGUGAGUAACACGUGGGUGACCUGCCUUCGAGUGGGGGAUAACGUCUCGAAAGGGACGCUAAUACCGCAUAACAUCCCGCCUUUGGACAGGCGGAGAUCAAAGCCGGGGACCGCAAGGCCCUGCGCUUGAAGAGGGGCCCGGGCCGGAUUAGCUAGUUGGUGAGGUAACGGCCCACCAAGGCGACGAUCCGUAGCCGGCCUGAGAGGGCGGACGGCCACACUGGGACUGAGACACGGCCCAGACUCCUACGGGAGGCAGCAGUGGGGAAUAUUGGACAAUGGGGGCAACCCUGAUCCAGCGAUGCCGCGUGGGUGAAGAAGGCCUUCGGGUUGUAAAGCCCUUUAGGUUGGGAAGAAGUGAAUUGUAGGAUAAUGACAGUUCAUUGACGGUACCGACAGAAUAAGCACCGGCAAACUCUGUGCCAGCAGCCGCAGUAA